RNAcentral lists this ribosomal RNA (1564 nucleotides) under Lecanographa amylacea. RNAcentral describes it as "eukaryotic LSU rRNA". It matches the Rfam family "Eukaryotic large subunit ribosomal RNA", at positions 177 to 1344 of the family's 3401-position model. The record is from RNAcentral. Lineage: Eukaryota; Fungi; Ascomycota; Arthoniomycetes; Arthoniales; Lecanographaceae.
CGGGCCAAGUCCCUUGGAACAGGGCGUCCUGGAGGGUGAGAGCCCCGUACGCCCGGGUCGCCUUCGCCGUGUGAAGCUCCUUCGACGAGUCGAGUUGUUUGGGAAUGCAGCUCCAAGCGGGAGGUAAAUUUCUUCUAAAGCUAAAUACCGGCCAGAGACCGAUAGCGCACAAGUAGAGUGAUCGAAAGAUGAAAAGCACUUUGGAAAGAGAGUUAAAAAGCACGUGAAAUUGUUGAAAGGGAAGCUCUUGCCGCCAGACUUGCCGCGGUCGCUCAGCCGUCCUUCUCGGUCGGUGCACUCUUCCGUCGGCAGGCCAGCGUCAGCUCGGGCGGCCGGACAAAGGCCCCGGGAAUGUAGCCCCCCUCGGGGGGUGUUAUAGCCCGGGGCGCAAUGCGGUCAGCCCGGGUUGAGGCACGCGUUCGCCAGGACGCUGGCGUAAUGGCCGCAAGCGACCCGUCUUGAAACACGGACCAAGGAGUCUAACAUCUGUGCGAGUGUUUGGGUGUCAAACCCAUGCGCGUAAUGAAAGUGAACGGAGGUGGGAACCCUCGAGGGUGCACCAUCGACCGAUCCUGAUGUCUUCGGAUGGAUUUGAGUAAGAGCAUAGCUGUUGGGACCCGAAAGAUGGUGAACUAUGCCUGAAUAGGGUGAAGCCAGAGGAAACUCUGGUGGAGGCUCGCAGCGGUUCUGACGUGCAAAUCGAUCGUCAAAUUUGGGUAUAGGGGCGAAAGACUAAUCGAACCAUUGAACUCAAGCUACUAGGUGGUUGACAGGCGCCGAAAGCCAGGGGCUUUGGCGUCUAGCCGGCGGGGCUUCGACCCCUCGACCGGGGGGUUUCUGAAGCCCCCGUCCGGUGACAUGACCAACUUGCGGGGACAUCCUCAUCGCCCGCGGCUACCGCGGCUCCGACACGCCGGUUGAGCGCAGCACCGGGCUUUGAAGCCCGGGGAUGGUAAAAACGCCGUGGGAUUGGACGAUCCGCAGCCACGCCCCGAGGGCAUCCGAUUUGACGGUGCACUCGGGGUUCGGUCCACGGACUAUAGGGUCACGGGCGGCGAGUUUUGCCGCUUAAGAUAUAGUCGGAUACCUUCGAGAGAAGCCGGCCCCCCCCCGGCUCGUGGGGGGACGCCUCGGGCGUCAAAACAAAAGGCCAGGGAGCCAGUCGCUAGUAGCUGGUUCCUGCCGAAGUUUCCCUCAGGAUAGCAGUAACGUUUUCAGUUUUAUGAGGUAAAGCGAAUGAUUAGAGGCCUUGGGGUUGAAACAACCUUAACCUAUUCUCAAACUUUAAAUAUGUAAGAAGCCCUUGUUGCUUAAUUGAACGUGGGCAUUCGAAUGUACCGUUACUAGUGGGCCAUUUUUGGUAAGCAGAACUGGCGAUGCGGGAUGAACCGAAAGCGGGGUUAAGGUGCCGGAGUGGACGCUCAUCAGACACCACAAAAGGUGUUAGUUCAUCCUGACAGCAGGACGGUGGCCAUGGAAGUCGGAACCCGCUAAGGAGUGUGUAACAACUCACCUGCCGAAUGAACUAGCCCUGAAAAUGGAUGGCGCUCAAGCGUCCCACCCA